This 771-nucleotide ribosomal RNA is filed under the name uncultured fungus. RNAcentral's name for it is "eukaryotic LSU rRNA". The stretch from base 554 to 771 matches the Rfam family "Eukaryotic large subunit ribosomal RNA", at positions 1 to 216 of the family's 3401-position model. The record is from RNAcentral. Lineage: Eukaryota; Fungi.
UGGUCCUCAAUGGGGGCAUGUGCACACUCUGUUUACACAUCCACUCACACCUGUGCACCCUCUGUAGUUCUGUGGCAUGGGGGACUCUGUCCUCCUGUUGUGGCUCUACAUCUUUACACACACUCUGUAACAAAGUCUCAUGGAAUGUAUGUCGCGUUUAACGCAAUACAAUACAACUUUCAGCAACGGAUCUCUUGGCUCUCGCAUCGAUGAAGAACGCAGCGAAAUGCGAUAAGUAAUGUGAAUUGCAGAAUUCAGUGAAUCAUCGAAUCUUUGAACGCACCUUGCGCCCUUUGGCUAUUCCGAAGGGCAUGCCUGUUUGAGUAUCAUGAACACCUCAACUCUCGUGGUUUGCUACGAUGAGCUUGGACUUUGGGGGUUUUGCUGGCCUGCGGUCGGCUCCUCUCAAAUGAAUCAGCUUCCCAGUGUUUGGUGGAGUCGCAGGUGUGAUAACUAUCUACGCUUGUGGCUUUUCACCAGAUAACCUUCGGUGACGGAGGUUUGCUGGGGCUCAUAAAUGUCUUUCCUCAGUGAAGACAGCCUUUUGAACGUUUGAUCUCAAAUCAGGUAGGACUACCCGCUGAACUUAAGCAUAUCAAUAAGCGGAGGAAAAGAAACUAACAAGGAUUCCCCUAGUAACUGCGAGUGAAGCGGGAAGAGCUCAAAUUUAAAAUCUGGCGUCCUCUGGCCGUCUGAGUUGUAGUCUGGAGAAGCGUUUUCCGUGUUGGACCGUGUACAAGUCCCUUGGAACAGGGCGUCGUAGAGGGUGAG